Transfer RNA from Puccinia sorghi, 103 nucleotides. It matches the Rfam family "tRNA". Rfam says of the family: Transfer RNA (tRNA) molecules are approximately 80 nucleotides in length. The record is from Rfam. NCBI's taxonomy places the organism in Eukaryota, Fungi, Basidiomycota, Pucciniomycetes, Pucciniales, Pucciniaceae.
GACAGGAUGGCCGAGUGGUUAAGGCGGCAGUUUUGAAUCCGUCCUACGAUGGCUCUCCAGCUGCUUCACUUUGUGAGCGUGAGUUCAAACCUCACUCCUGUCG